AAAUGUAUAGCUCAAGUGGUAGAGUGCAUGCUUACCAAACACAAGGUCCUGGGUUCAAUCCCCAGUACCUCUU
RNAcentral lists this transfer RNA (73 nucleotides) under Camelus bactrianus (Bactrian camel). It matches the Rfam family "tRNA". Rfam says of the family: Transfer RNA (tRNA) molecules are approximately 80 nucleotides in length. Their secondary structure includes four short double-helical elements and three loops (D, anti-codon, and T loops). Further hydrogen bonds mediate the characteristic L-shaped molecular structure. tRNAs have two regions of fundamental functional importance: the anti-codon, which is responsible for specific mRNA codon recognition, and the 3' end, to which the tRNAs corresponding amino acid is attached (by aminoacyl-tRNA synthetases). tRNAs cope with the degeneracy of the genetic code in two manners: having more than one tRNA (with a specific anti-codon) for a particular amino acid; and 'wobble' base-pairing, i.e. permitting non-standard base-pairing at the 3rd anti-codon position. The record is from Rfam by way of RNAcentral. RNAcentral also lists the same sequence under 2 other names. Lineage: Eukaryota; Metazoa; Chordata; Mammalia; Artiodactyla; Camelidae.